GGGUGUAUAGCUCAGUGGUAGAGCACAUGCUUAGCACGCAUGAGGUCCUGGGUUCAAUCCCCAGUGCCUUCA
This 72-nucleotide transfer RNA is filed under the name Camelus bactrianus (Bactrian camel). It matches the Rfam family "tRNA". From Rfam's summary of the family: Transfer RNA (tRNA) molecules are approximately 80 nucleotides in length. Their secondary structure includes four short double-helical elements and three loops (D, anti-codon, and T loops). Further hydrogen bonds mediate the characteristic L-shaped molecular structure. tRNAs have two regions of fundamental functional importance: the anti-codon, which is responsible for specific mRNA codon recognition, and the 3' end, to which the tRNAs corresponding amino acid is attached (by aminoacyl-tRNA synthetases). tRNAs cope with the degeneracy of the genetic code in two manners: having more than one tRNA (with a specific anti-codon) for a particular amino acid; and 'wobble' base-pairing, i.e. permitting non-standard base-pairing at the 3rd anti-codon position. RNAcentral also lists the same sequence under 3 other names. Lineage: Eukaryota; Metazoa; Chordata; Mammalia; Artiodactyla; Camelidae. The record is from Rfam by way of RNAcentral.